GGAUUGUAGUCUGCAACUCGACUACAUGAAGCUGGAAUCGCUAGUAAUCGCGAAUCAGAAUGUCGCGGUGAAUACGUUCCCGGGUCUUGUACACACCGCCCGUCACACCAUGGGAGUUGGGAAUGCCCGAAGCCGGUGACCUAACCGAAAGGGAGGAGCCGUCGAAGGCAGGUCUGAUAACUGGGGUGAAGUCGUAACAAGGUACC
RNAcentral lists this ribosomal RNA (206 nucleotides) under uncultured bacterium. RNAcentral describes it as "partial 16S ribosomal RNA". It matches the Rfam family "Bacterial small subunit ribosomal RNA", at positions 1295 to 1500 of the family's 1533-position model. The record is from RNAcentral.